RNAcentral lists this transfer RNA (64 nucleotides) under Aquatica sp. q XF-2022. RNAcentral describes it as "tRNA-Thr". Lineage: Eukaryota; Metazoa; Arthropoda; Insecta; Coleoptera; Lampyridae. The record is from RNAcentral.
UAUAAAUUAACAUUGUUUUAAUAAUUUAAUAUAAAAUAUUGGUCUUGUAAAUCAAAAAUAAGUA